RNAcentral lists this ribosomal RNA (419 nucleotides) under uncultured bacterium. Its description in RNAcentral is "bacterial SSU rRNA". It matches the Rfam family "Bacterial small subunit ribosomal RNA", at positions 358 to 774 of the family's 1533-position model. The record is from RNAcentral.
GGAAUAUUGGUCAAUGGACGGAAGUCUGAACCAGCCAUGCCGCGUGAAGGAAGGCGGCCCUAUGGGUUGUAAACUUCUUUUGUAGUGGAGCAAUAAGGUGUACGAGUACACCGAUGAGAGUACAUUACGAAUAAGCAUCGGCUAACUCCGUGCCAGCAGCCGCGGUAAUACGGAGGAUGCGAGCGUUAUCCGGAUUUAUUGGGUUUAAAGGGUGCGUAGGCUGUGCUGCAAGUCAGUGGUGAAAGACCUGCGCUCAACGCAGGAAGUGCCAUUGAUACUGCAGUGCUGGAGUACCCCUGCCGUGGGAGGAAUGAGUGGUGUAGCGGUGAAAUGCAUAGAUAUCACUCAGAACACCGAUUGCGAAGGCAUCUCACGAAAGGGCAACUGACGCUGAGGCACGAAAGCGUGGGGAUCAAACA